UCUUUAGGAGAGUCAUUCUAGAUUUAUUGUCCCAUAACAAUCUUUAGCUAAUAUAUUACUGGUUUUCUUUUGGGUUGGCAGACCACACUUUUGGAUUACAUCAGGAAAAGCAAGGUGGCAGCAUCUGAAGCAGGUGGAAUUACUCAAGGCAUGGGGGCAUACAAGGUACAAGUACCUUUUGAUGGCAAGCCACAGACUUGUGUUUUCCUUGACACCCCUGGACAUGAGGCAUUUGGAGCAAUGAGAGCUCGUGGAGCCAGAGUAACAGACAUUGCUGUUAUUGUAGUUGCUACUGAUGAUGGAAUUCGACCUCAAACAGAAGAGGCCAUUGCUCAUGCCAAAGCAGCUGGAGUGCGAAUUGU
Coffea eugenioides is the source of this 362-nucleotide long non-coding RNA. RefSeq lists it as uncharacterized. The transcript has 3 exons. NCBI's taxonomy places the organism in Eukaryota, Viridiplantae, Streptophyta, Magnoliopsida, Gentianales, Rubiaceae. The record is from RefSeq and is a predicted model, not a curated record.